UUGUUUUUACAUAAAUAAGGCCGUUAGUUUUCUCGUUUGAAUUGUUUUACAUUGUCUUAUCGGGGCCUUUUAUAGCUGACUAUGCGGUAUGGGCUUUGCUCAUUGUUGAAGGCCGUACGAUGACCUAUAGUUGUUAAUGUCUGUGUCAUUUUGGUCUUUUGUGGAUAGUUGUCUCAUUGGCAAUCAUACCACAUCUUCUUUUUUAUAUUUACCUGUUUAUUGCUUUU
This 227-nucleotide long non-coding RNA is filed under the name Mytilus galloprovincialis (Mediterranean mussel). Lineage: Eukaryota; Metazoa; Mollusca; Bivalvia; Mytilida; Mytilidae. The record is from RNAcentral.